This 201-nucleotide long non-coding RNA is filed under the name Phoenix dactylifera (date palm). Its description in RNAcentral is "long non-coding RNA (PDAC_LNC012526)". Lineage: Eukaryota; Viridiplantae; Streptophyta; Magnoliopsida; Arecales; Arecaceae. The record is from RNAcentral.
GAGAAUCAACCUUGGCAUUCAACAUGUUUAUGCCAUCUACAUCAUACAUACCUGGAACUUUCUUAGGCAUACCUCUUUCAUUAGACCACUGAUAAUUGUUAGAGGCCAUUUCUUUUAACAACUCAUAUGCCUCUUCUGUUGACUUACUCAUUAAAGUACCUCCUGCAGCUGCAUCUAUGGUAAUCCUGACUGAAUGUGUUA